This 273-nucleotide ribosomal RNA is filed under the name uncultured bacterium. Its description in RNAcentral is "partial 16S ribosomal RNA". It matches the Rfam family "Bacterial small subunit ribosomal RNA", at positions 524 to 796 of the family's 1533-position model. The record is from RNAcentral.
UACAGAGGGUGCAAGCGUUGUUCGGAAUUACUGGGCGUAAAGCGCGUGUAGGCUGCAACGUAAGUCGGAUGUGAAAGCCCUUGGCUUAACCAAGGAAGUGCAUCCGAUACUGCGUCGCUUGAGUGUCGGAGGGGAUGGCGGAAUUCCCGGUGUAGAGGUGAAAUUCGUAGAUAUCGGGAGGAACACCUGUGGCGAAGGCGGCCAUCUGGACGAUAACUGACGCUGAGACGCGAAAGCGUGGGUAGCAAACAGGAUUAGAAACCCCCGUAGUCC